CCCUUAGAUGUUCGGGGCUGCACAUGCGCUACACUGAAGGAAUCAACGUGUAUUUGCCCUUGCCCGAAAGGGUUGGGUAACCCGUUGAACCUCCUUCGUGCUAGGGAUUGGGGCUUGUAAUUAUUCCCCAUGAACGAGGAAUUCCCAGUAAGCGCGAGUCAUAAGCUCGCGUUGAUUACGUCCCUGCCCUUUGUACACACCGCCCGUCGCUACUACCGAUUGAAUGGUUUAGUGAGAUCCUCGGAUUGGUCCCGCCACGGGAGGAAACUUUCGAGGCGGAGUGCCGAGAAGACGAUCAGACUUGAUCAUUUAGAGGAAGUAAAAGUCGUAACA
RNAcentral lists this ribosomal RNA (333 nucleotides) under uncultured eukaryote. RNAcentral describes it as "partial 18S ribosomal RNA". It matches the Rfam family "Eukaryotic small subunit ribosomal RNA", at positions 1470 to 1796 of the family's 1831-position model. The record is from RNAcentral.